This 22637-nucleotide long non-coding RNA is filed under the name Phaseolus vulgaris (common bean). RNAcentral's name for it is "long non-coding RNA (PVUL_LNC004552)". The record is from RNAcentral. Lineage: Eukaryota; Viridiplantae; Streptophyta; Magnoliopsida; Fabales; Fabaceae.
AAGAAUUGACCCUGCGUUGCUGCGCCCUGGUCGUAUGGACAUGCACAUUCACUUGUCCUUCCUCACAAGCAAGGCCUUUCGAAUUCUAGCUUCCAAUUACUUAGACGUUGAAGGAGAUCAUCCACUCUUUCAACAAAUUGAUGAUCUGUUGGAGAAAAUACAAGUAACCCCUGCAGUGGUAGCAGAGCAACUAAUGAGAUAUGAGGAUCCUGACGUUUGUUUGGAAGAACUUGUUCAAUUUCUCCAACAAAAGGCCAAGGAAAGCCUCCCUUUAGACUAGCCAUGUUUUAGAGUCUUCUCAACUCUACCAUCACUCGGAUAAGAUGCAGAACAAAAAUUAGUGCUUUUUUGUUCUGUAGUCUUUAGAUGGGUACUUAUGUCUUGAAUUGUUGUUUAAAAUUCAAUGCAAAAAAGAUUUGAAGAUUCUAAUUAAUCUAUAAUCUAUAAGCCAACAAGACUGUAAUUAAGCCAACAAGGAAGAUCCAAUAGCAGUUUUCGCUAAUUUUUUGUUAUUUGGAGGUGGUACCGAGUAACUGACAUGGUGUUUGUUUAGGUAUUACAAAAGGCAAAGUUUCUUAUUAUCAUUUUGUCUUUUUCGUUUGUUUGUAUAUCAUUAUUACUGGUUUUAAAGUAUGUUGCAACGCAAAGUUUGGGCUGGUCAUGCACUCCGCUUAGUGAUCAAAAUCAUUGGGUGGAACGAUGAUUUUAGUCCGUUGAUCCUCUUAUGCUCUGUCUUUCUCGAAGAUCGAUGUAAAGUAUGGAGGAGUGUGUCAUCAUCACGCAACAGGUGUUUCGUCUACAAACUUGUUGUCCACAUCCAUUUUUGUGGGAUGGAGAAUGUCUCAGGAUAUGAAGAGGUCUUACGGUGAAAUCUGCAAAACACACUUAUUGUUGUAUUCUACAUGAAAAAGGCAUAAGCAUUUAUGGAAAAUCUACAAAACACCAUGCACAUAUUUGAUUUCAUCAACUAAUGAUGGAUACAUAUUGUAUGGACAGAAAUACAAAAUGAAAAAGCAUAUUACACACUUCAUUUUAAACCCUCUUAUUUACCUUUAUGUAAGAAAAAUGAUAGUUUGAAAUUAUAUAAAACAAAACACUCAUGUUUUAUAACCUAUUUUAACAAUAUAAUAAUAUUUAUUAAUAUUUUAUAUUAAAAUAAAUGUGAUUAAAAUAAGAAAAAUGAUUAUUUAACGAUCCUUAUAGUUAUAUAUAAUUCUUAAUGUGAUGGGUUUAGAAAUAAAUAUACAUAAUAAUAGAGUAAGUUUGGAAUUAAAUGAUAUGAAAAAAUAUUAAAAUGAUAAUAUUAGAAGUGGUAAUGUAGUUGUUUAAAAAAUAUGAGUUGUAAACGUAUUAUUAUCCUUAAAAUAAUAAUAUGUUGAGUUGUAAAGUAGGAGUAUUUUUUUUUUUUUUGAGUAUGACACUCCUUAUAAAUACAAUAUCACUAAUUUCUCUAUGUUUUUUUUCUUAAAGAUUAAGAACGUAUUUAAAAAAAAAAAUACUUUCACCCAUAGACACAUGAAAAUCAACAGCAAAAUAAAUUAUUGAAUAAAAAGUAUUUUAAAGUACACCAUUUGUCAUAUAUUUUUGUUCAGUGAGAUAUUUUGUCACUGAAACGAAAGUUCACUUUAUAGAUUAAAAAUAAAAGGAAUGAUUUGUUAACAAACGAUGACACAUUUUGUAAGGAAAAAAUAAGUUGAUUACAUGCUCUAAAAGAAAAAAAAGUUACCGAGAGACUUUCAUCUUAAAGCAUCAAAAAGUUUUACUCCUUUUUUGUGCUCCAAAUGUUUUAGAAUAACUAAUAUCUCAUUCAUUUAUGUAGGAUAUAAUGGACCUUAAUUAUAUAUAGUCUUCAUUAUAUUUUAAUAUAUUUUUAUUUUACAAUUCUUGUAUUCUUCCUUUAAGCUUCAUAUGCAUGGUUUGAUCUUCCAUGUUUUAUUGCAAAAAUAUUUUCAAAACUGUACACAUAGGGUUAAAUUAAAAGAACAAGUGUUACCAUCGACAUUAUUUCAUAAUCAAAAUAUGUUGCUCAAUGUUAAAAUCGUAAAAUAUCAAAUUUUUAAAGAACGAAAAUCUACCGGCAUAGGUUGAAGGGCUCAUAUAGUACCCCUGUGACUAGACGUACAAUUGUUGAUGUGUCAGUGAUUUUCAGUGAUUUUCUGAUUACUUCAAGUAUCAUUCUUCAAAUGUUGAUGUUCGGCCGGUCGAGGGUUAUCUGCAAAAGGUACUAUGACGCUCAAGUAAAUGUUUUGGCUUAAGAGUGUAUUCUAAUAAAAUGGUAAAAGUAUACCUUACUCUUUCACAGAGGGCUCUAUUUAUAGUAUUGGCAUAUGGGCCUUGACCCUCAGGGGUCGAAUAUCAGUUUAUGAACUGAUGCAUAGUAGUUCCUUGAUACUAGGAACGUGUAUCUUUCAAUUAAUAAAUUAUUCUCGCAUAUUGAUGACUUUUUACGGCAAGUGCACCGCGUUUGUCAGAAGUAAUAAUUGUCCCUAAGGACAGAUAUCGAUCCCACAAAGAACAGUGAAUUAUCGAGUACAAUAUUCGCUAAAUUUAACAACAGAACAAUAAAAAAGAGUUUGAAGUGAUUAUGUUGGCACUGAUCAAUAAGAAAACAAACAAAGAAUUAGUUGCUUCCAUUGGAAAAAUUGGGAUUAAGUUUCAUCUCUCUCACACUCAUGUAUUUUGAUUAGCAUGUUAAUAUUAAGUUCUUUAAUUGAAAUUGAUGCCCGUAUAAAAAUCAUUUAUAUCGAUUCCUCGCAUAUAAAAUCCUUAAGAAUGUUCCCUAACUAUCGAUCCCUCGCAUACUUAUAAGAACAACUUAGAACGAAGCUCAGACGUUUAAUAGCAAUUAACAUUUCAAGUCUAUUACUAGCACUCAAAUAUGUUAAGUAUUGUUGUUUAGGUCCGAAUCCUAAAAAUACCUCCCGGUCAGAUUUAAGAUUCUCAAUUUGUCACGGAGAAUUAAAAGUAAAACAACAAUACCAAUAAUCAAUCAAGAACUGAAUAUUAAUAUAUAAAAUAUCACCUCAAUACAUAAGAGUUUGAGCAGAUUACUCCCAAUCCCAAAGGGUAGAAUUAGCCACGCAUACUUCUAUCACCUUCCAUUCUCCCAAUUGGGUUACAAUUCACUCUAUGGUGUUUUCCUCUCAAUCUGGCACCCUAAGGUUGAGCCUCUAGCCCUCUAUUUAUCCUAGUUUUCUAGGGUUAGGUUGUUUAUUGUGUCGCGCUAAUGGGCUAAAUGAUAAAACAUAAAAAGGCCCAAUCUUUCUUUCUUUUUUUCUUUCAUUCCGGGACCUUCUAUCUUUAUCUUUUUGGCUCAAAUCAUUCAUCUUUAAUCCAAAUCUCCAAUCUUCCUUAGAAAUCUGCAAUUAACACCAAAUUUGGGAAUAAAAUACUAUUAUUCAAAUAAAGAUCAUAAAAAAUGUAAAAAAGUAUAAAUGCAUAAAUUAGGGAUUAUUUUAUAUGUAAAUUAGCAAUAAAUCCUCAUAAGUGCCUAUAUUUUAAUAUGAAAUAUUACUGAAAUUAGACACUUAUCACAUAUUUUGGGAUGUACAUUGACUCAUUCAACGCUAUUUGUAAUUUUUGCUACUUAUUGUAUUUCUUAUAUUUUUAAACUUGGGUAGUCGGUCACUGGGACCGAGACUGACUCGUCCAGUACCGACGGUACACUUGCCCCCUAGGCUCGAAGAAGUUAACUUCUGAAGAGUCAAAGAUGACUGUUGGAGUUCCCGAGAUAAGAUGUGAUGGCUGAACGGAUUAAAUAUUUGGCAGAGAUGUGACAUUUGCUAUUUAGCAAAAAAGUCGUUGUUUUGAUGAACACUGUUCAAUCAGAUAUAUCUAACGGUUGAUAUUUCAUGUCGUUUCAUAUGCCGAAUGAUGCUAACCAUUGGAUGGAUAUGGAUCUAAUGGCUUCGAACAAAUGACACAAUAACCUCUCUCCUGUUCAAUUACCUAUAAGUAGGGCAUCAUUUGAACGUAGUAGGGUUUAGGCUUUUUUCGCUGCUAUAAGGUUUGUGUUGUGUGCUCCGAGUGUUGAGUCUUUCAACUUGCUUUCACUUCUUCGUACAUUAUUCAGGUUAGUCAUGUCUUCUACCUCUGACUCCUCUAAUAGUGUUGUACAUAUUGAGUCAUUUGAUGUUACCUGCACUGCAUCUGGUAGUGCGAGAGAUGUGAGUGGCUUGGACAGCUCUAAAUCAGACGGUCCGAGUUACGAGUGGGUUGAUCCAUGGGUCUUGGAUAUCCCUACUUGCUUUUAGGAUUCCAAUUAUUUAGUUAAAUAUUUUUUCCAAAGGAGCUUUCUUAAAACCGGAUUCGCCCUCAGACACGUUGAUGGCCUACAUUUGUGGUUAUAUCGAACGAGUUUGUCACAGUCAGGAAAAUUCACCCCACGACUUCUUUUUUGUUUAUAAUACCUUUUUUUUCUGAUUUACAUAUUACUCUUCCCUUCGACAAUUCACCAUGGAGGUCCUUCGUAUCCUUAAUGUGGUGCCAACCCAUCUACAUCCCAAUUCGUGGACGGCUCUUCAGGCCUUCAGAAUUAUUUGUGACAUUUUCAAAAUACUACUUAGGCCUCAAUCAUUUCUAUUCUAUUAUAAUUCUUGUCCGAGUACUCUAGUGAGUUGGCUAUCUUUUUCGAGUCGACUGGGGAGUGUUCGGUUCGCAACAUACACCACCUCAUAUAAAUUUUUUAAAGAAAUAUAUUUCAAGAUUUUUGUGGAGUCGGAUGGUCGAGAUUAUUUUUACGAUUCUGAAGGGCAGAACAAGUUUCCUUUUCAUUGGACCCCUAAUCCUUCAAUAUUCAGUACCUAGCUGAGGUCAUCGAUGACCCCUCGGGAUAAAGAAGUCCUUGUUGUUUUUUACCAGCUCCUAAAUAAAUUACCUACUCGAGAGUUGGUAGCGUUGUACAAGUCGUUAAGAGGUGGACGAAAUAUACUGGUAUGUGGACUUAUUAUAUACCUAAUUGUAUUCAUUAAGUUGAUGGUGUUUAAUUUGUUUGUGUUUUGAAGCUAUCAUGACUCGAGUGGACUCGACUCUUGGGAACUACAUGGCCCAAUUAUGACGCCAAACGGCAAAUAGAAAAAUAAGCAGCUUCGAGACGAUCGGGAAAGGAAACCCGAUCGUUCUGGUUGAUGUAGUGCCCCCAACCACCAUCGUCCCUCCGGUGAAUCGAAAAAUGGGUCGUCUGGCUAAGACGGUUUAACAAAAUGCAGUUGCAGGGUUAUCCUCUUCACAACCUUCUAUGUUGAAUUCCCUCAUGCAAUUGGUGUUGGGGGUACAAAUUGCAAAAUCAUCGGAGGACGAAAGCAUUCUAGUGGUCGUCCCUAGCAAUAACUUUAUUUUGGAAUUGAUUGAGCUGCAGAGUUGGGAACUAGUGGUUGGCGAGACUCUUAGAGAGGAGCUAGAAAGAACCACGACUGUGGUUUACCCAAGUUAAAAAUAGAGUUGGCCGAGUCUACUAGCUCUUUGAAAGCAACAUUGGAGGCGAUGGAAGCUUUCAAAGAAAAAAUGUGCCAAGAUAAUGUUGCAGUUGAGAAGGCCCAACAGGCCUUGAAAGUCGAGGUAGAGACGAUAAAGGCCGAGCUUGCCAAGGAAAAGGCUGAAGCUGAAGAAAGGGAGAAACACUAUCCGCAGAGGUGGAGAAGUGUCACUCCUUUAUGAUGCACAUAAGUGAAGAUUACUUCCACUAAGGUCUUCGUCAAGUGGCCUUCUUCCAUGGCAUACAUGCCGAGGAUACUAGGUAUGACAUCGAGAAAGAUGUUGUUGAAGGAAAGCUAGUGCCGAUCAGCGGAGGUGUCGAUGAGGUGAUGAAGGAGGAUGACGGCGAUGGAGAGACUGCCACACCCCGCAACGAAUCGGAGCCAUCUUUCGAGGAAUUAUUUGAACCGCUUUGAAUGGAUAUCCUGGACUCGGGAUGUCGGCUUAAAACAAUGUUUAAAUUUUUUUAACGAUCGAUAAAGAAACUUUUAACUUUAAAUGUUACUCUUACUUUGAACAUGAUAUAUUUUGAGAAUGUCGAUGAUAUCUUUGAGUUUUGAUUAUGUUUUAGGAUGACCGAGUACUUGCAUAAAAGUGUUUUUAAUAAAGUACAGUAAUGGAUGACCGAGCCUAUUGAUAUUGAACAAUAUAGCAGUACUUUAAUAAUUCACGUAACAUUGCUUGAUCGUUACGAAUAACAUCUGACUGACUAAGCGGUGGAGUGUGAUAAGACUUGAACGCCUACUUUCUAAUUAAAAAGUAUAACUUGAACAAAUAUGAAAUAAAGACUUUCACUUUGUUCCUAUCACGCGGAGUAAGAAUAAGUUAUUCUGGUCUAGGGUUUAUCCUUGAUAAACUAAUGAAUGUUAGAUAAGAUUAUUUUAUUCCGAUCGUUCUAAGCGAUAUUUUAUCUUCUCCUGAUCGCUCUAGGCGAUACUUUAUGUGGCUUGGAUUGUUGUUAACAAUAAUUACUGAAUCCGAUCGACACUGGUCAAUGAACUCGGUUGGAGUUAAAACUCUUGUUAUUUCUGAUUGGUCAGUGUGAUAAUCAUGUGAUAACAAAAGAUAGUUUUAAAGUGUUUCGUUAAAAUCUUCUCAGUCAAAAAAUCUCCUUAGGGAUAAAACAACCGAGCGAGAGAAGAGUACACUAUUUUAUUGAAUUUUCAUCAACUAUAAUAAAAUUUGAUAAGCAUGGCAUUUCAUGUUCUCGAUACAUUUCUUCCAAAUAAAAAUUCUACAUAAUAUGUACCGCCAGCCGCUGUGUCUGCAAUACGUAAUGGUCCUUCCCAAUUUCUUGAUAACUUACCAUCGUCUUUUUGGGUGUCACUACGCAUUCGCUAGACCAAGUCUCCAUUUUGGAAGUUUCUCGGAUUCACCUUCGAAUUAUACCUUCUUGUCGCCCGUACUUUGCAUGUUUCUUAUCUUAUUCUACUUUUGUCUCUAAGUUCGUUGAUAAGGUCAAGGCCGACCAACAAAAUUUCUUUAUGUAAAUCCAAAUCUAGUGUUUGUCGUCGUAGAGAGGGCUCUCAUACUUCAACGGGAAUCAUAGUUUUUGUCCCAUAGGUCAAACUAUAUGGGGUUUCUUGCAUAGUGGAUUGUGGCAUACAUCAAUAAGCUCAUAAGACUUCAAGAAGCUCCUCGGUCCACUUACCUUUGGCUGGAUCGAGUCUCUUUUUCAAUAGAUUCAGAAUAACUUUGUUGAUGGCCUCGACUUGGUCAUUGGCCUGCGGGUGCUCUACUGAGUUUGUGAUGUGUUUGAUAUCAAGCUUUUUGUAAAACUUAGACAAUCCUCGGUCAGUGAAUUGUCGACGGUUGUGAGUGAUGAUGACAUGCGGUAUUCCGAAUCGGCACACAAUGUUUUUCCAAAUAAAAUUUUGGACAUUCCGUGCACUGAUGGUCACGGGGGGUUCGACCUCUAUCCAUUUAGUAAAAUAAUCUAUGCAUAUCAACAAAAAUUUACACUUUCCUUUACCUAGAGCAAAGGGUUUAAUGAUAUCCAUCCCCCACUUCACAAAUGGCAGUAGGGAGAGAAUGUAGUGAAGAUUCUCAAGCUUUUAGUGAGAUAAACUACCAUACUCCUGACACUUAACACAUUUAUGAACAAAUUUUGUACAAUCACCUUGUACGGUUGACCAAUAAUAUCCUGGUCGUAGUACUUUAGUUGCCAUUUUCCGAGCUCCCAAAUGAGUACCACAUACUCCCUUGUGUAUCUCUCGCAUGACAUAAGUGGCUUUCUCAAGGGUGAUACAUUUUAAGAGUGGACGAGUGUAACCACGCCGAUAAAGAUCUUGAUCUAUCAGUAGAAACUGGGUGGCUUACUGCCUCAUUACUUUUCCCGAAUGCACCCCGCAGUUCCCAUCUAUUAAAAAAUGUUUGAUGGGUGUCAUCCAGUUCGGCUGUACAUCAGCCAUCAUACACUCUUCUGAGCUAACAAUGGGAAUGCUCAAGGUCAUAUAAAUGACCGACCGAUGAAGUACCUUCUCUUAACAGUUGCUAGGCGGGAAAGCAUAUCAGCUCGGGUAUUGUGUUUCCGGCGGAUAUGUUGGAUUGUUACCUCAGUAAAUUUUGCAAUCAGACCCUGCACAAAGUAAUAAUACUGUUGAAAUAACGUCUUUUUGACUUCAAAUUUCUUUUUAAGUUGGCCGACCAUUAAUUGAGAGUCACUUUUACAUAUGAGUUUUUUCACUUCCAAAUCAAAAGCGAGGUUAAGGUCAACUAUGAUAGCUUCAUACUCGGCCUGAUUAUUCGACGUCUUAAACUCAAACUUCAAAGACUGCUCAAUGAGAACAUCACAUGGUCCUUCAAGUACCACCCCUGCAGUGCAUGAUCUGCUGUUAGAGGAACCAUCAACAUGCAUAGUCCAUUGAGUCUUCCUCCUCAGUCGUCCGAGGAUUGAGCUCAGCUGUAAAAUCAACUAAGGCUUGUGAUUUAAUUGCCCCCUGGGUUGAUAUUGAAUUUGGAAUUCUUAUAACUCCACCGCCCAUCCUAUCAUUCGUCCAGCCAAGUUUGACUUUGCCAGUAUCUUCAUUAUGGGGUAGCUGGUUCUUACUAUAAUGCGAUGAUUCUGAAAAUACAUAUGCAUUCGUCGUGUAGUUAUUAUUAAGGCCAAGGCGACCUUCUCAAUCAUUUGGUACCAUACCUCGACACCGUGAAGUACUUGGCUGAUGAAAUAGACUGGUCGUUCUUCUGUCUCCACUUCUUGAAGCAAUAUCGCGCUUAUUACAUCUUUUGACACAACGAGAUAAACAAUUAUAGGUUCCUUAGCAAUCGACUUUUGAAUGAUCAAAGGAGAUGCCAAAACAGCUUUUAAUUAGAGUAAUAUUCCUUCACAUUCGUUCGUCCAUCGGAGCUUAGAUGCUUUUUGUAACAGUUGUAUAAUGGGUUUAGUCUUUUAUGCAUGUUUUGGCACAAAUAUAUAAAAUGUUGUAAGCCGCCCGAUCAACCUUUGAAUUUCUUUGACAUUUUCAGGGCUCCUCAUCUUGGUGAGCGCCUUACAUUUUUCAGGGUUUGCUUCUAUGCCACGAUGAGUGAGCAUAAAACAUAAGAAAUUCCCUCCUUCUACCCUGAAUGCACACUUGUCGGGAUUAAGUCUCAUGCCAUGGUCGCAAAGGGCUUGGAAGACUUCUUGUAGAUAUUUGAUAUGUUGUUCUCAUGAGUCAAAUUUGACGACAAUGUCGUCCACAUAAACUUCAACACUUUGGCCAAGCAUGUCCUUGAAGAUGUAGUCCAUCAUUCGUUGGUAGGUGGCCCCAACAUUUUUUUAGGUUGAAUGACAUGACCUCAUAAUAAAAAUUAUUAGAGUCAGUCAUAAAAGCUAUUUUUUCUUUGUCUCUUGGAUGCAUAUGGAUUUGAUUGUAUCAUGAGUAUGCAUCUAAAAAACUUAGGAUAGUGUGAUGUGUUGCACCGUUUUCGAGUCGAUUAAUGCUCGAUAGGGGAUAAGAGUCUUUAGGGCAUCCUCCACUUACCAUUUGAUUUCUUGACCAUGAACACAUUGGUCAACCAUGUUGUAUAAUGUGCUUUUCUGAUGAAGCCAACCUUCAUUAACUUCUCAGUUUCUUCUCAUGCGGCAUCACGUCAUCUUUUGUUUUUUCUGGGAUACCGGUCUGACCUCUAUGUAAAUGGAGAGGCGAUGUGUAAUGAUAAUCGGGCUCACCCCGGGCAUAUCAGUAGUCGUCCAAGCAAAUAGAUCGGUAUUAUCAAUCAAAUUUUAACUUACCAACUUGUUACCGUCUGGUGUCAAAGACAUUCCAAUGUGUGUCUUAUGUUCAUCAUCUUGAAGGGGCAAGUGACGAAGGUCCUCACCUGGAUUUAUACGGGCUUCGUCAAGUCGAGGGUCUAAGUCAACGAGUGCAACCAUAUGUUCUCUCGUUCUUCUAUCACGGGAGCAUCCUUCGGUCGAGCAUCCCCUCCUUCCGUGAGACCGGUCACGUGGUGAUGCUCUAUAUAGCCGUCUGGUAGGUUUGAUCUUUAAACUUGCAACAUAACAUUCGCGACCAAUUUUUUAAUCCACAUGAACCGUGACGAUAUCACCGGGCAGUGACGAAAAUUUCAUAGCUAGGUGAGGGGUGGAUACUAUUGCCUUUAAACAAUUAAUGGACGACCGUUUGAGCAGUAUAUUAUAAAAUGUAUUUGCAUUAACCAACAAAUACUGAUUUUUAUAGUUUUACUGAGAUGACCCUCUUCACCGAAGAUAGUGUAUAGGUUGAUAAAUCCUCUAGUAUCCACUCGUUCGCCUGAGAAUCCAACAAUCAGUUCAUUAUAAGGCUGAAUUUCUGUUUCUGGAAUCCUCAUUUUCCCGAAGGUCUUCCAAUAAAGGAUAUCCACCGAACUACCUUGAUCCACCAGGACCUUGGUAAUUGCAAACUUGUCUAUUUCCGCAGUAAUCACCAUGGGAUCGUCUUGUGUUAGGUCUAUUGUGGUGAAGUCAUCAUCAGUACAAGUAAUCGGGGAAAUCCUCGGUCGACUUCAGAUGGACGUGGAAUGGACCGAUCGGAUUGCCCGAAGAUGUUUCUUUAUAGCCGAAUUAGAACAUCCACCUCCCGCAAAACCUCUAGCUAUUUUAUUGACUUCUUGUUCGGGAAUGUCGAGUGACACCGGUCCAGCAAUAGUAUUGAUAACUUCUUGGACCCUACGCCUGGUCUGGUUGUUCCUCUCAUGACUUUCACUUCGUGGUCGAGUCCUUCUUACUGGGCUUUCACUUUGUCUUUGCCUCAUCGGACGCUGGUUGUCAUCAUGUCGACAUGAGUCCACUCGUCCUGUUCGAUCGUAGUAUUAUUUUUUUCCUCUAGGUGGAUAUCGAUCCCUUUGUGGAGAUCGGUAUGUGUCGGUGUCGGUCUUAAUGAAUUUGUGGAAGUGGCCAACUUGAAUACGUUCUUCUAUUUUUUAUUUCAAUGCUUGACAACCUUCGGUCAUAUGGCCAUAAUUGUGGUGAUACUGGUAGUGUUUAGAAGUAUCUGCAUUUCGUGGAGUUUCCGAUUGCUUCGAGGCUGGGAUUAACUCGACUUGCAAUGCCUCAUCCAAAACUCUUCCCCUUGGAACUGUUAGCAGCGUGUAACUCAUAAAUUGGGUCCUCGAUUUUCUCUGAAACGGUCAGUCCGACCUGAUACAGGUCGACUGCCUUUGUCUUUGUCUUUUUCUUUCCCUUUAUCGGCACCUUCAAAUUGAUGACUCCUAUGAUAGUCAAUGUGUUCUUCUAUCUGCAUAAAUUUGAUUGCAUGGUCUCUUGAUUAAGCUUUCGAUGAAUUGGUCCGGUCAGAUUGCCGAGACAAGAUGAUGAAUGGCUAUCUCUAGCAUCAAGUUUCUGAUACCCCUGCAAACAUUGCCGAAUCUAUCCAUAAAUGCUUGCAAGGAUUCUCCUUUUUCUUGCUUCACGUUAAGGAAAGACAUGGAUGAGGUGUGAUGUGGUCGGCUCAUUGCAUAUUGUGUGAUGAACUUUGUUGUCAUAACUUUAAAUUUUCCCACGGAGUUAAGAGCGAGUCUGGUGAACCAACCGAGUGGUCCUUCUUGAGGGAGGUGGGGAAGACCUUACACCAUACUGCUUUGUUGGUUGUGUAAAGAGUCAUUUGUGUCUUAAAGACAUUUAGGUGUUCGUCCGGAUCAGUAGAACCAUCAUAGGGUUUGAUGGUUAAUCAUUUCCACUUGGGAGGGAUUGGUGUGUCGAUUAUCUUGUUUGUGAAUGAAUGUCCUCUUGGGUCCUCCUCGUCAUUCCAAGGAGGAGUAUUUCUAGAACUUUGGUGAGUUUUAUGAAUGAGAUUGGUUUGAUGGGUUUGUGGUGGUGCUCGAGAUUGCUCUUCCCGUUCACGCCCAUCAAGACGUUGUUGUAGGUUUUUAUUUUGCUCCUUCAAAAGGGAAAUCUCAUCCUCAUGCUGACGUCGAUCCUCUUCAUUAUGUAACUGAUUCGCAAUGCCUUUUUGUUGUAAUUCCUCCAUUUGUGCCUGGAGGGCCUGGAUCAUAACUAUCUGUUCAUCUGCCAUGCAGCCGUUGUUAGUAUUAUUCCUUGUUGACACCAUCGUUGCAGGUUGUAGCUUGUUACUGAAAAUUGAAUACUACCUCGGCCCCACGGUGGGCGCCAAUUGUACCUAUAUAGGAUGAAGGGGGUAGAUAGUACCUGUGACUGGUCGCACAAUUCUUGACGUGUCGGUGAUCUCCUUAUUACUUCAAGUCUCCUUCUUCAAAUGUUGAUGCUCGGUUGGUCGGGGCAUACCUACAAAAGGUACUUCGACGCUCAAGUAAGUGCUUUGAUUUAAGAGUGUAUUCUAAUAAAAUGGUAAAAACGUACUUUACUCCUUCACAGAGGGCUCUAUUCAUAGUAUUGACUUAUGGGCCUUGACCCUGAUGGUCGAAUAUCAGUUAUUAACUGAUGUAUAGUAGUUCCUUGAUACUAGGAACGUGUAUCUUUCAAUUAAUCAAUUAUUUCCACAUAUCUCGAGAUGUACAUUGACUCAUUCAACGCUACUUGUAAUUGUUGCUACUUAUUGUAUUUCUUAUGUUUUUUUACUCAGGCGAUCAAUCACUAGAAUCGAGAUUAACUCAUCUGGUAACGACCGAUAUAGAAAAUUAAAAUAUCAUCAAUUAUAGAAAUCAAAUAUUAAUAUUAUAAAAAAAUUAUUAGAAAGUUAUGAUUACUAAGAAUUCGUCCUCUAUAAAUAUUAGGCAUUCAAAGUUAAAAUUUGUAUACACCCAUAUAAAUUCAAAGUUAGGAAGAUAUUCUUCAACAAACGAGUUAUUAUAAUGUUUCCAACCAUUUUAUUAGAAUUAUUUAUGUUUGAAUAUUUUAUCUCUUUUUAACUUUUCUCCUUUAUGUGAAUCAGUAACUUUAAACACUCUAUACAUAGGCUUGUAUUAUGUAGUAGAGGUUAUAAAUUGUACACCUCGUAUAAAUCCUCAAAGACAAAGAGAUGUACAUUGAUGAACAAGUGAUCCAUGUCAAUUUAACCAAAUAAAAAUGUUCAGAUAGUAGAUUGUUUACUGAAAAAAAAAACAAAAAUUAAAUCUAGUCAAAUCCACUACAAGAAAAUUAUUAAAUAGUAACUAAUUUUAGAGAUCAAAAUAGUUAGUUAUUAUUUGACUAAAUUAGAGACUAUUUUAUAAACUAAAAAAACUUUUGGUAUUUAAAGUAGUUUAUAUUAUUAAUAAAAAUUUAUAAAAUGGUUUCUAAAUUAGUAUAUAACCAUUAGCUACCAAGUUUUUAGUUACUUACUACUUUAUAUUCUAAAUUUGUCUCUAUUACUCUUUUAGAGACUAAUUUAGAAUCUAAAAUAUUAGUAGAUAAAACUUAGGUAGCUAAUUUAGAUACCAAUUUAGAAACAAUUUUAUAAAUUUUCAUUAAUAAUAAAAACUAUUUUAAAUAUGAAUAAUUUUUUAGUCUCUAAAUUAGUAUCUAAUUUAGUUAAUAUAGAUACUAAUUAUUUUUUGUCUCUAAAUUUAGUUACUAUUUUAUGAUUUUCUUGUAAUGAUCAAUUAAUUUUGAUUCAUCUCCCAACAAAUUAAAUUGUAGAUUCAUUAAGAUAGAUUUCAAAUAUUAUUUGCAACAGUUGUUAGUUAAUAAGAAUAGUUUAGGGUUCUAUUUUAAAGGAUAAGAGUAAGAUGAUGAAAAGCAGGUUGAGUCUCAAUUUCUUUAACAAUGAAUUCUUCAUCGGUUGACAUAUAUAUAUAUAUAUAUAUAUCAUUCAUUCAAUCUCCAAACAUGAUCGAAUUGAUCAAAUAUGCAUAAGUCAGUUCAAUAGAAUCUAAUUAAUGAAACAUGUGUUUACUAAUUCAUCCAGUAUCUUACUCGUCUUCAUGCACUUACUUAUAAGAUUUUUCAUUUUUUACCUCUUGAAUUGAGCAAAAAAGAGAUUGUUCAGACUAGUGCAACAAGAAUUCAAAUUAGAGAACAUAAUUGAAUCAUCAACAUACGUUCAAAAGCAAUUUCAAUAACAAAAAUUAGAACUCAAAAAGACCAAAUCGUUUAGCACAACCUAUUAUAGAUAUUAAAAAAUAACAGUUUAAUUGCAUGAAACCUCAAAUGCAUUGUAAAAUCACAAGAGAAUCGACCCAAAAGAGUUUAGUCUUUCAUACGAAGUCAAAACAAAAAGAAUUACAAAGAAGAAAAUAAGAAAACUAUGAUGCUCUCUUUAUGAACGUGUUUCUAGUGUGGAGCUUGAUAUCUUCUCUUUAAAGCUUGUAUCUUUUUAUAAGUUUCUUUGUUCCAUGAAUCUCGAAAUUAGAUUAUGGUUUAAAUAUUGUUUGCAUAUUCUUAUUUUCCAACUUUCCAAAAUUUUCAAACUUUGUUUUCAUUUUGUAGCAAAUUUUGUUUCUUCUUAUCUUUCUAGAAUAUUUGCUUUCAAAUCUAUUUGAAAUAUUGUAGAUUUUAUUUUCUAAUUCUCUUACUCAGAUUUUGUUUUUCAUUUUUAUUUACAGAGACAAUUUGAACUUUGAUUGAUCAAUCCCACUUACAACAGUAUACUCUUCCUUCAAACUUGUGCAUCAGUGUAGCAGACAUUUCUAUUAGAUCGUCUACUAUAAGAAUAAUCGUAAUAACAGUUAAAACUCAACUAAACUCAAUUAGAUGAAUCUUAUUUAAAUAACAUAUUUAUUCAUAAUUAUCAUUAUAAGAAAAUCCUUAAAUAGCAACUAAUUUUAUAGACAAAAAAUUAUUAUAUUGACUAAGUUAGAUACUAUUUUAUAAAUUAAAAAUUAUUAGUAUCUAAAAUAGUUUAUAAUAUUUAUAAAUUACAUUUUAAAUUGGUAUCUAACAUUAGUUGUUAAGUUUUUAGCUACUAAGUACUUUAAAUUCUAAAUUAGUCACUAUAAAAACUAAUUUACAAUCUAAAUAGUUAAUAACUAAAACUUUGGUAGAUAAUGUUAGAUACUAAUUUAGAAACUAGUUUAUAAGUUUUAUUAAAAUAGAAACUACUUUAAAUACAACAAUUCUUUAAUUUAUAAAAUAGUAAACUACAAGAAAUUCAUUAUAUAGUAACCAAAAUUAGAGACCAAAAAUAAUUUGUCACUAGUUAAGUUAGAUACUAUUUUAUAGACUAAAAAAAUAAUAUUUGUAUCUAAAGUGGUUUUUAUGAUUAAUAAAAUUUAUAAAAUAGUUUCUAAAUUGGUAUCUAAAUUAGCUACUAAGGUUUUAACUAUUAAUAUUUUAGAUUCUAAAUUGGUCUCAAUUAAUCUUUUAGAGACUAAUUUAGAAUCUAAAAUAUUAGUAAUUAAAACCUUUAUAACUAAUUGUUAGAUACCAAUUUAAAAAUUACUUUAUAAAAUUUUAUUAAUAAUAGAAACUACUUUAUAUACCAAUAAUUUUUUUAGUCUCUAAAAUUUUAAUUUAGUCUAAUAAUAACUAAUUAUUUUGAUCUAUAAAAUUAAUUGUAAUUUAAUGAUUUUCUUGUAAUAAUAUUUAAUUUAGUCAAUAUAAUAAUUAAUUAUUUGUUGUUUUUAAAAUUAUUUUUUAUUUAAUAUUUUUUUAACAUAUAAAAAAGUAUAAUUAAAGAUUCUAUAUGUGAAUACAAUUAUGUUCAUUUAAUGCUAUCAACCAUUUUAUUGGAAUUUUUUAUAUUCAAAUACUUUAUUUGUCAUCUACUUUCCAGUAAUUUAUUUGUUUCAAUCAUUUACUUUAAAUACUUUAUCAUUUUCGCAUUGUACCUAUUUGUUUCACUAUUCUCUUGUAAAACUCGAAUAAAUUUUGUUUCGAAUGAUAUAUGUAUUUGUAAAUAUGUUUGUAAGUAUUCAAUCUAAUAAAAUUUAAGACUAUGGCUAAUAAUCUACCAUACACGAUAAAAUGUCUCCAAAGCAAAUAUGUUUGCUUUUGUUGAUGAAAAUUCUCAAAAAAAUGGGGCGUGGGGCCCAAAAAAAUAGGUAGGGUCGUUCUCAUUCAUUGUUUGAAUUCAUUUUGAUGAAAUGAUUUUACUAGAACAAAUAUUUAUGGUACAUGAUUUAUUGUUUUUAUCCAUUCUACGUACAACCUUCUUCCGGAUAUCAAAUAUGUACUUAAACAUGAAACUUGUUAUUCGUAAAAAGAAGAUUUAAUUUUCCCAUUUUUGCUUUACUAUUUUCUUACAAAUAUUGAAUAAAUUUUGUUCUAAAUAAUAUAUUUAUUUGUAAAUAUAUUUGUAAGUGUUCUCAUAUGAAAGUUUUUUUCAUUGAUGUGUUUUUACUUAUCUUUUUUAUUAGAGAAUUUUUUGUUAUUUAUAAGAAAGGUAAUUUAUCUUAAUACAUUUUCUCUAUUAUUUAGAUGAAGGAACUUGGAUAAACCCUAAACUCUAAAUGGACAUAUUUUUAAGAUUUAUGUCCUAUAUAAACACCGUGUAUACGAGUUUUUGUUAUAAGUGAUAUUUCUUUUUAUUUGUCGCUUAGGUUAUUGGCCUACAAAUCGAACCAUGCUAAUAGAGUACUAAGCAUUUAGUAUAUGAGUGAUGUUUAAUUUAUCGAACCUACUAAGUAUUUACAUUUAAGUUAUAACAUUUAAAACAUAUAUAUGGGGUCAAUAAUCUACCAUGAGAAUGAAAUGUCAAAAAUAAUUAUUUAUCAUCUUCUUCAAAUUCUUAUAAUAUUAUUUUUGUUUUUUUAAUGAAAAUUCAAAAAAAAAACUCAUAUUGUGAUAUUUAAUGUCUUGGUCAUUCUUAUAAGCCAAAUCUUAUGUAAAAAUAACCAAAAAAAUAAAAUUUCUUCAUUAAAAUUUAUGAUUGGUUUAGUAAGAAUUUGACUUAACUAUAAUGUGAAUGAAGGAAUUAUAUUAAGAAUUAUAUUUAGAGUUUGGAAACUAUUGUCAAUUUCAUAUUAUGAUAUAUUUAUAUCAUUUUAAUUAAUUUUAUAUGCUUGCAAGUCUUUAAAAAAGUUAUAAAAAUCUUAUUCAGUUUGAUGUCCCAAUUAUAAGAUAAUAACUUUUUACUUUAAUAUUAAUUUUUAAUUAUCAAAUGUAUAAAUUACCCAACUACUACAAAUAUUUGUAGAUAAGACUUAGGUUUAUCAUUAUAGUACUUCAAUUAUUAUGUAUGUGAAAAAAGUAAUACUAAAACUAGUCAAAAGUAAAAACACCGAAAAGUUGAAGCCCUAAAAAUACAUUUUUCUUAUUUAUUUAUUGAUUAUUAUUAUAAAGAGCAGAAGAUAAGUAAAAACACAUACAUAAUUAAUUAUAAAUGUUUCAAUUAUAAUAAUAAUAAAUAUUUCCAUUUCUUUCAUCUCCGUAAUAUAAUUAAUUGUGUUACUUUAUGUUUCUAAAUUAUGUGUAUUUUUUUGGUGGGAGGAUUGAUAUUUUUAGUCUGCUAUUACCUACCUUAUUAUAUUUUUUUAAUUUAUUAGAAUUAAAAUAAAUAAAUAAAACUAAAAUCUAAAAUAUUACGAGUUUAUACUAUAUUACUUUAAAAAUAUAAUUAUGUAAUAUUAUUAUAAUUUAAAUUAUGAACACUUAUAAAUUAAGUUUCAAUUAUAAUUAAUUAAUUUACAUAUGAAAUUAUUAAUUUUUUAAUUUUUUUAAUUAAAAUACUAUGUAAUUAAAUAUAUUUUUUAAAAAUAAUUGUUAUCCCUAUCUCUCUUUUCAGCUAUACCAAAAAAAAAAAAACUGUCGAUAAAUGUAUGGGAUGAUGUUAUACUGGCAAAUUUAAUUUUGUUUUUGUUGGUAUUGAAGAAAAAUAUUGUUCAUACAUCAACCCACGAAAGCAAUAUUUGAGAGUGCGUGUUUGCGAAGUUUACGCGUAUGUUCAACGGGUUCCCAUUUACGCGUGAAGACUAAAAUAUUAGAGAUUCAAAGUUGGAAGGGGGUCCUUUUUCUUCUCACGUUCUCUCUUGUUCGUAGAAUGUACUCUAAUGUUUUUUAACUUAGGAUUUUAUAGGUCAAAAAUAAAUAUAAUUUAAUGAUGUGUAUGAUGUACUCUAAUGUUUUUUAAUUUAAAUUUUUUAUAGGUCAAAAUAAUAAAUAUGAUUUAGAGUUGUGUAUAAGGUAUUUUAAUGUUUUUUUAACUUAGGAUUUAGUAGGUCAAAAUAAUAAAUAUAAUUUAAUGAGGUGUAUAAUGUACUCUAAAACUUUUUAAUUUAAAAUUUGAUAGGUCAAAAUAAUAAAUAUAAUUUAAUAAUGUGUAUAAUGUACUUUAAUGUUUUUUAACUUAGGAUUUGAUAGGUCAAAAUAAUAAAUAUAGGUUAAUGAUGUGUAUAUUUUUUUUAGUGUAAUAUAUAUAUAUAUAUAUAUAUGAUUUUAAUGGGUUAUUGAUUAUAGUUUAGUAUUAGUAUUAGGGUAGGUUGUAAAACUAAUUUCGAUUCUAAAAUAGAAUUUCUAUUUUUGAGAAGAUUAAUUGUACUCUAUAGAAGAUUAAUUGUUAGUUUCCUAACAAUCAGACUUGAACAUGUUAUAUAGGUGAUGUUCGAUUUUCUAGUAAAAAACAAUUAAUUGUCACUAAAGUGAUGAAAUUUGACUAUUCCUAUGGUAUAAAGAGAAAAUCAUUGAUUUUUUUUUUGAAAAAACUAAAUUUAUUUUUUUUUGAAUUUUUGUUGUCUAAUUUUAAAAAUAUUAUUUAUUAUCACCCAUAAUUAUUUUUUAUAAGAUCUUUAAUAAUUCAAAAAAUUCAAAUAAAAUAUUAAUAAUUAUUAAUUAAAAACUCUUAACGCUUGUUAAAAGCAAUUUAAAUAUUAAUUAAUUACUUUAUAUAUCCUUUUUAGGAUUAUAUCAAAUAUAUUAAUUAAUAAAUAAAUUUGUCUAUUUGGUUUUAAAUUAAAAUUAACAAUUAAUAUAACUUAAAAGAAAUAAAAUAAAAUAAAAUAAAAUAAAAUAAAAAGUAAAUUAGAAUUGGAGUCCGAAAUUCUAAUUCCGAUUCCGAUGUACUUUUUGUAUUUAAAGAUAAAAUGGAAGGUUAGAAUUGAAGUGCGUGUUGUUAUCAGGAUUAAUAAAAAGGUUUAUAGGGCUAAACAAAUUGACAAUAGAUUUAUUUGGGUAAUUUCUUUUGGAAAGGUAUCUGUCACAAAAUUUAUACUUUUUAAAUUAUGAAAAGGAAUAUUGGUUUUGAAAAAAGAAAGUUAAUAAUAAAUGUUACCUGAAGUGACUAAUAUAGUCAUCACUUUUUAUCGGGAAAAAAGAACAGUGACAUGCUGUUCCAAGCAUGUUAAUGACACUGACUUUCCCUGAAAAGAUGCGGACAUGCCGUGCGAUGAAAAUGACAUAAAGGGCAGAGAAACUUGCACCAAACAAACUACUCUCAUACAUAACAAAAAUGGAAAACUUUUUCCCCAACCAAGUUUUCAAAUUUUGCUCUAAUAAAAAAUUAUUAUAUUUAAAUAAACUUUAAUAAAUUUUAUUUGAUUAAAUAUUAAAAGUGUUUUUUUUUCUAUUUAUUCUUGGGUUUGAUUUUGCUAUGAAGGAAUGAUCGGACCCUUACUUUUAUCAUUAACGUGAAAACACAUAUGUUAUUGUGUCUAAUUUUUUAUUUUUAUUAUUAUAUUUGUGUUUUGUAUAUUUUAAAUAUCAAAUAUCAUUUUCACUUUUCAGUUAUAAGUUUCAACAUAUCACGUUAAUAAUUACAAAAUGUCAAUAAUGACAUUUGUAAUGUGCAAAAAUCUGAAUGUUUUGUAUUCAAGUAACAGUUUGAAAUAUUAUGUUUAUCUUUUUUUUCUCUCUACCUCUGUUGUACGAAGAUGAAAAACAAAGUAAAAGAACUCAAAAUGAGGAGCAUUAAUAAUUAAACAAUCAGAAUUUAAACCAUCUAUAUUGAUUGAUCAAAACAAAAUAAACAAUAAUGACAUUGGUUCAAUAAGAAAUUCCUUUAGAUUGGCGAAAAUGAAAAAAAAAAUUGUGGUUUACAUUCAUUUUCUUAUGUUUCUUUUUUCUUUUUGUUCUUUUUUCUCACUUCUCUCAAUUUUUUCUUUUUUGUAUUAUGCCUAGAGUCAAAGUAACUGUCCAUCAAACAAUCUUCCAGUUCAAAGUUUUAUUUGACUCAUUCUAACAUUUUCUUUUAAAUUUAAUAAUAGUUUUUUUUUUAGUUUUAAAUUUAAGUGAUUAUAAAAUAACGAAAUAAAUAAAAUAAAAUAAUAAAUAAAAUAUUGAUAUAAAGAUAAAAUAUGAACAAUUUGUGUACAACCCAAUUAGAAUGGAGAAUCUCUUUUACAAAUAGGUAUAUAGAUAUAGAUAUAGAUUAUAAUAAUAAUAAAAUCGUAAAGAACAUAGCAUUUAUAAUUUUUUCAAUUUUAAAAAAUUACAAAUUUUAUUUAUUAUUUUCUUACUUGCAUAUUCUUAUCAAGAUAGUAAAUGAAUUAUUAUGAUUGCUAAGAAAAAUAAAAAUCGAAUUAUAACGGAAAAUAAAUAGAAAAGUAACAAAUACAUAAUAAGAGUGGAAGAAGAAAAAACAGAAAAAGAGACAUAAUAAGAGUGGAAGAAGAAAAAACAGAAAAAGAGAAAGAAAGAAGUUGCUUGAUGGAGCCAUAAAUUAUUUGAUUUUAAAUAUUAGUUUACAUACAAUUUGUCUUUUAAUCAGAUUAUUGACAGAUAUCCUAAGUAUUAUAUUGGAUCUAAAUUCUCUAAAUUUUUAAGAAAAAAAUUAUGUAAUUUAACCAUUGAUAUUAAUAAAACUAAAUUUUAAAUUUACUAAUUUAAAAAAAUUACACUAAUAAAAGUAAAAUUAGUAAUUAACUGUAUCCACUAAAAUAGAUUACUAGUUACAAAUUGUUAUAGAUAUGUAACAGAAAUAAUUCUUUCAAAAUUCAAACCAAAAAGUAAGAAUAACAAUAAUGAAAUAUAUGUUGCGGAAUUAAAGUAAUUAUCCAUAAAAUUACGUUUCAAUUCAAAACUUAGUUUACUCAUUCUUUUUAAAUAAACAUAUUUAUUUCAAAUUUAAUAUCAACUUUUUUUAGUUUUAAAUUUAACGAAAUAACUAAAAUAAAAUAAUAAAAUAAAAUAUUAAUAUAAAAAUAAAAUAAAAAUAAAUUUUUGUACAAUAAAAAUAAUUAUAAUAGAAAUUCCCUUUAUAUUUCAUAUAUAUAUAUAUAUAUAGGUAUAGAUUUGUUUUUUCUUUUUCAAUCUUAUUAAAUUUAUUUCUACUCUCUUGAAGAGCUAAUCGACUUACGUGUAAUAAGAAAUAAAAGAAGAGAAGAGAAUAAAUAAAUAAAUAAAAAGUGCAGAAGAAGCUUUACUUGUGGUGCAAGGACUAGAGUGGGUAUAAAUGAAUAGUGGGUUUGAGAGAAAUUUGUUCAUUCACUCAUCCUUGGCUACGCCCAAAUCUUCUUUCCCUAACAUUUUAGUUCAUAUCACAGUAAAACACCAUGGGAUUGUACUCCAACAAGUUUUUUUCUUCUUUUACAUCGGCCUCAUCAUGGUUCGAGGUCUAUGCUGCCUUCUCCACAAUCAUGAUGCUCUUCAGAACUGCAAUCAAUGAUCUCAUUCCCCAUCAAUUUCGAUCCUUUAUCGCCUCAAAGCUUGAGGCCUUCUUCUCCAAAUACCAAGCAAACUCCAAUGUCUCUGUCAAAAUUAACCAAUUUUGGGAUGAAAAUGUUGGAGAGCGCAAUGAACUUUUCGAUGCUGCCCUGGCCUACCUCCCCACACAGAUUAGUCACACCUACAAAUCGCUGAAAGUUGGCAGACUGCAAAACCGGAAACACCUUGAGCUUGCAGUGGAUGGAAGUGAAGAUGUGGUUGAGGAAUUUGAAGGCAUCAAAUUCACUUGGAAGCUGGAUGAGGGGUCCAAGGAGGAGUCUAAUAACAACAGCAGGAGGUAUAACUUUUUAUUAACCUUCGAUGAGAAACAUAGACAAAGGGUAUUGGAUCGGUAUCUCCCACAUGUGCUUAAAACAUUUGAGACCAUGAAAGAUCAGAGAAGGAUUGUAAAACUCUAUUCCAGGUUAGAUGACUAUUGGAACGAAAGUGAGUUAUCACAUCCUGCAACAUUUGACUCACUAGCCUUGUGUCCUGAGUUGAAGAAAGAUAUAAUUGAUGAUUUGGCUAGAUUCUUGAGGAGGAAGGACCUUUACAAGAAAGUGGGAAAGCCUUGGAAGCGUGGCUACUUGUUGUAUGGACCCCCAGGAACUGGAAAAUCUAGCCUUAUUGCAGCUAUGGCAAACUACUUGAAAUUCGAUGUAUAUGAUUUGGAGCUUUCUUCUAUCUACUCUAACUCGGACCUCAUGAGAUCCAUGAAGGAAGCGUCUAACCGUUGCAUCGUUGUGAUUGAAGACAUAGACUGCAACAAAGAGGUGCAUGCAAGAUCAAAGCCAAAUGGUGCUUCAGAUGAUCGAGAUUCGGACUCAGACAGUGAGGAUCCCAAGGUUUGUUUUCAUGUUCUGUACUCUUACUUAUUUGCAGUAGUCAUCAAUUAAUCUUUUUACAAGUAAAAUGAGUGUUUUUUCUUAAAAUGAAUCCACAGAUGAGGUCAAAGAGGUUUACACUAUCGGGUCUGCUUAACUACAUGGACGGUUUGUGGUCAAGUGGUGGAGAGGAGCGGAUUAUAAUCUUCACUACUAACCACAAAGAGAAAAUUGACCCAGCACUGCUGCGCCCUGGUCGUAUGGACAUGCACAUUCACUUGUCCUUCCUCAAAGGCAAGGCCUUUCGAAUUCUAGCUUCCAAUUACUUAGACGUUAAAGGAGAUCAUCCACUCUUUCAACAAAUUGAUGAUCUGUUGGAGAAAAUACAAGUCACCCCUGCAGUGGUAGGGGAGCAACUAAUGAGAUAUGAGGAUCCUGAUGUUUGUUUGGAAAAACUUGUUCAAUUUCUC